This 429-nucleotide ribosomal RNA is filed under the name uncultured bacterium. RNAcentral's name for it is "bacterial SSU rRNA". It matches the Rfam family "Bacterial small subunit ribosomal RNA", at positions 63 to 493 of the family's 1533-position model. The record is from RNAcentral.
CGAGGGGUAUAUGUCUUCGGAUAUAGAGACCGGCGCACGGGUGCGUAACGCGUAUGCAAUCUACCUUUUACAGAGGGAUAGCCCAGAGAAAUUUGGAUUAAUACCUCAUAGUAUAGUGACUCGGCAUCGAGAUACUAUUAAAGUCACAACGGUAAAAGAUGAGCAUGCGUCCCAUUAGCUAGUUGGUAAGGUAACGGCUUACCAAGGCUACGAUGGGUAGGGGUCCUGAGAGGGAGAUCCCCCACACUGGUACUGAGACACGGACCGGACUCCUACGGGAGGCAGCAGUGAGGAAUAUUGGACAAUGGGCGCAAGCCUGAUCCAGCCAUGCCGCGUGCAGGAUGACGGUCCUAUGGAUUGUAAACUGCUUUUGUACGAGAAGAAACACUCCUUCGUGAAGGAGCUUGACGGUAUCGUAAGAAUAAGGAU